CUCGAUCACUAAACAUGACCGAGCGAACCAUCUCUGCUUAUCAAACCUAUUAUAACUCCAAAAUUUACAUGCAAAAAAGCAAUAUUCUAACCAAAGCUUUAUUCAUAGUAACUGCUGAAUUACUGCUAAGUUAUUAUAAAAUAAGUUCUGAAUCUCAACCCAAUGACUUUGUCUAUAAAGCUUCUACUGAUAAACUGACGCACUGCUCAGGUAAAUAAAAAUGUCUCUAAAAGUACUCCACGAACAAAAGCGGAGCUCACCAAUAUCAAUAGAAGGGAAGGAAGUCCUAACUCGUAGCCUGCUCGCCUGCAAAUCCGGUUCCUACGUUGUACCG
RNAcentral lists this long non-coding RNA (334 nucleotides) under Nicotiana benthamiana. RNAcentral describes it as "long non-coding RNA (NBEN_LNC001915)". The record is from RNAcentral. Lineage: Eukaryota; Viridiplantae; Streptophyta; Magnoliopsida; Solanales; Solanaceae.